This is a long non-coding RNA of Brassica rapa (field mustard), 398 nucleotides long. RefSeq lists it as uncharacterized. NCBI's taxonomy places the organism in Eukaryota, Viridiplantae, Streptophyta, Magnoliopsida, Brassicales, Brassicaceae. The record is from RefSeq and is a predicted model, not a curated record.
CGCUUCGGAGCUCAUCUCGGUGAGAUUAUUGAAAAGGGGUGUCGAUUAGAUCGAAAGAUGAGACUUCGUUGAGUGAUUGAGGGAUCGAUUAGAUCGGACAGAGAGAGGGAGAUGAUGAAGCUUGCUGCUUUUGUGGUUCUGUCUCUUGUGUGAACGUAGAUCACCUGCCGUUAACUUAGCCGUCAAGUUGGUGACUUUUUCCUCCGUCUAUUUUAGGUACUAAGUCAACGAUCCGGAUAACAUGGCAUCACAUCUAUCUAUCACAUGACUGCUAUAAAUACACAUGCUUAUGCCUUUCACAUCUGCUUUUAUCAUUUAUUCAACCAAAUAAGGUCAUUACUUUACAUGUUGAAAAAUUCAAUACAUUACAUGUUUGGCCAACUAUAAAUUACUCGAAA